RNAcentral lists this long non-coding RNA (1518 nucleotides) under Salmo salar (Atlantic salmon). Its description in RNAcentral is "lncRNA (ENSSSAG00000094188.1, ENSSSAG00000101669.1)". The record is from RNAcentral. Lineage: Eukaryota; Metazoa; Chordata; Actinopteri; Salmoniformes; Salmonidae.
GAGACAGAAGGAGGCACACCUGAGAGGAUCUCACAUAGCCAGAGGAGCCUUCCAACACCACAGACACUCACACAGACCAGCCAUCAUGUCCGCCGCCGGAGGUACGUUUUACAUCAUUGAAUUUCAAUUACCGGUACUAGACACAAAUAGCCCGUUUUUCCCCCGAGAAUUUUAACGUUUUGACUCUCCUUGUUAUAUUAUAGUUCAUGAUGAUUUUCCAUUAUAAAUGUCAUUUGUCCUAUAUUCCAAAAAAAAGAAUUACAAUGUGGAGAUCAUGCCAAUAGGUAUCCCCUCUAGUCUCAGUUCUCCAUUAUACCAUGGGUUUAUCAGGCAAUAGCCAUAACCUGUGGCCUGAUCAUGAUUCAUGUACAUCACUAGCCAGUCAGGUAACAGGCAGAACGCCACAGGGAAUCAUGUGCUAGCUCGUUGUUCUAGCCACAUAGUAAACAUUCAUUUAGUAUGCUGUGGCUACAGAGACCGGCACAAGUUGGCUAGCUUCGCAGUGCACUGUACAUACAUACAGUACAUAUCCCAAAGCACCUUCACAAACUCAAACAAACCACUCUCAGUCACUGCUACCUCCCGUUGCCCGAGUGAGACACAACAUAUUAGCCUGCUCGUCCCCCAAAACAAACAGGGAACGUGGCUCAUCAUAACAUAUUGGUGUGACCUGCUCUGGGAGAUUUACGUUGACUUUCUGUGGGUCAGGUUUACUUUUGAGUCAGUCAUAUAUUGUUAGAAACCGGGUCGUGCGAACCCUGGAUGCUGAUUGGCUGAAAACCACGGUACUGAAUAUGAGACAAUAUACCACGGGUAUGACGCAAAACUACUUGUUUACUGUUCGUAUUACGUUGGUAACCUGUUUGUAAUAGCAAUAAGGCACCUCAGGGGUUUGUGGUAGCCCCCAAACCUAGGACCCCAGAUGGCAAUAAAAGCCACAGGGCUGGGACAACAGUAUGUUUCUCUGUCUAUUCUAUUUCUGUCACUCCUCUGAGUGUACCGGCCUGUAGAGUGUGGAUAUCCUCUUGGAUCUUAUCUUGUGUUCUCUGCUCUCUCAUCAGCUCCUGAGUACGACCCUGAUGCAGAAUUUGUGUACGGCAACAAAAUCCGCAGGUGUGGAAAGCCCAGGGAAAGAAAGGUUGAAGAGAAGCCCCUAGCGUAGGACGGCUGGGCGCUUGUGUGUUGUUGACUGUAAUGUGUGUGAGACUGCAUUCCUUUUUGUACUGAUAAACUUUGGACCCACUUUCGCUGUCCUGUGUUUUACUACAAAGUACAUUGAAAAUCAACCGGUGUAAAUUUGUUAGGGUGUUCUACCGGGCGGCCAGGUAGCCUAUCCGUUAAGAGCGUUUGAAAAAUCUGUCCACGUGCCAUUGAGCAAGGCACCUAACCUGAAUAGCUCCUGUAAGUCGAUCUGGAUAAGAGCAUCUGCUAAAAUGUAAAGUAGUCCCUGAGAUUGUAAUUCUAUGGUGUUAGGCCUAUACUGGCCAAAUAGUGCUAUAGCCUCCAUGUUAGCAGAAG